GAGCCAGACUCCUACGGGAGGCAGCAGUGGGGAAUAUUGCACAAUGAGGGAAACCCUGAUGCAGCGACGCCGCGUGAGUGAAGAAGUAUUUCGGUCUGUAAAGCUCUAUCAGUAGGGAAGAAAAUGACGGUACCUGACUAAGAAGCCCCGACUAACUACGUGCCAGCAGCCGCGGUAAUACGUAGGGGGCAAGCGUUAUCCGGAUUCACUGGGUGUAAAGGGAGCGUAGACGGCGACGCAAGUCUGGAGUGAAAGCCCGGGGCCCAACCCCGGGACUGCUCUUGGAACUGCGCGGCUGGAGUGCAGGAGGGGCAGGCGGAAUUCCUGGUGUAGCGGUGAAAUGCGUAGAUAUCAGGAGGAACACCAGUGGCGAAGGCGGCCUACUGGACGGUGACUGACGCUGAGGCUCGAAAGCGUGGGGAGCAAACAGGAUUAGAUACCCUGGUAGAC
RNAcentral lists this ribosomal RNA (450 nucleotides) under uncultured bacterium. Its description in RNAcentral is "bacterial SSU rRNA". It matches the Rfam family "Bacterial small subunit ribosomal RNA", at positions 328 to 795 of the family's 1533-position model. The record is from RNAcentral.